Molecule: transfer RNA, 73 nt
Rfam family: tRNA
About the family: Transfer RNA (tRNA) molecules are approximately 80 nucleotides in length. Their secondary structure includes four short double-helical elements and three loops (D, anti-codon, and T loops).
Source: Rfam
GCUCUCGUCGUCUAAUGGCUAUGAUAUCAGAUUCCUAAUCUGAAGGUUCCGGGUUCGAGUCCCGGCGGGAGUA